RNAcentral lists this ribosomal RNA (281 nucleotides) under Campylobacter ureolyticus. Its description in RNAcentral is "partial 16S ribosomal RNA". It matches the Rfam family "Bacterial small subunit ribosomal RNA", at positions 1 to 281 of the family's 1533-position model. The record is from RNAcentral. Lineage: Bacteria; Pseudomonadati; Campylobacterota; Epsilonproteobacteria; Campylobacterales; Campylobacteraceae.
UUUAUGGAGAGUUUGAUCCUGGCUCAGAGUGAACGCUGGCGGCGUGCCUAAUACAUGCAAGUCGAACGAUGAAGUCCUAGCUUGCUAGGAUGGAUUAGUGGCGCACGGGUGAGUAAUAUAUAGUUAAUCUGCCCUACACAGAGGAACAACAGUUGGAAACGGCUGCUAAUACCUCAUACUCCUAUUUGACAUAAGUUAAAUAGGGAAAGUCUUUUCGGUGUAGGAUGAGACUAUAUCGUAUCAGCUAGUUGGUAAGGUAAUGGCUUACCAAGGCUAUGACG